This 206-nucleotide ribosomal RNA is filed under the name uncultured bacterium. RNAcentral's name for it is "partial 16S ribosomal RNA". It matches the Rfam family "Bacterial small subunit ribosomal RNA", at positions 1294 to 1500 of the family's 1533-position model. The record is from RNAcentral.
CGGAUCGCAGGCUGCAACUCGCCUGCAUGAAGUCGGAAUUGCUAGUAAUCGCGGAUCAGCAUGCCGCGGUGAAUACGUUCCCGGGCCUUGUACACACCGCCCGUCACACCAUGGGAGCCGGUAAUACCCGAAGUCAGUAGUCCAACCUCGUGAGGACGCUGCCGAAGGUAGGAUUGGCGACUGGGGUGAAGUCGUAACAAGGUAGC